This is a long non-coding RNA of Dryobates pubescens (Downy woodpecker), 595 nucleotides long. RefSeq lists it as uncharacterized. Lineage: Eukaryota; Metazoa; Chordata; Aves; Piciformes; Picidae. The record is from RefSeq and is a predicted model, not a curated record. The transcript is spliced from 3 exons.
AAGCAGCGGCUGGCACCCACGAACGGCACCGGUGACUGUCUAAAUCGUUUUGCCGUGUUGAGGUGUAACGGUGUCGGUGCCAGCUUGCCGAACCGUCCCGAGCACGGGAUUUUGCCUUAUUGCAAAGUCAGCUCGAUAGCCCUGGUCUGGAGUAUCUCCGGCUCUGGGUGGGAGCUGGCAGCACCCCACUUUCCUACCUCCAAUAUAGGACCAUGUGGCUCCUGCAGCCUACUUCAAAACGAUGGUAGACUAGUGAGCAGCGGUGAUUUCCUGUGUUUUGGAAUGUUAACAUCAGCACCACUUGUAAUCUGUAGACAGCUGUGGCUAAAGGUGAACAGGAAAGUUCUGUAUACACGAUAAACCAAAAAUACCCCUAGGAAUCAGCUAUUAGUAUUUGAAAUGGCUGAGAUUUCAGGAGGUAGUUCUGUUGCUUCAUCUGAAACACAAGUUUGACUAAAGGCAACCCUCUUUAUAGUAAUAGGAUUCUGGUUUCCGCCCUCCUUCAAAUCGUGGAAUUUCAUCUGGAGUAGGAAGUAAACCCUUCCGGCCUCCUGCGCAGUAAGAGAUGCAGUGGAUAGGAGUCAGAAGAGACAUU